RNAcentral lists this ribosomal RNA (446 nucleotides) under uncultured soil bacterium. RNAcentral's name for it is "bacterial SSU rRNA". It matches the Rfam family "Bacterial small subunit ribosomal RNA", at positions 26 to 474 of the family's 1533-position model. The record is from RNAcentral.
AGAUUGAACGCUAGCGGGAUGCUUUACACAUGCAAGUCGAACGGCAGCGCGGACUUCGGUCUGGCGGCGAGUGGCGAACGGGUGAGUAAUAUAUCGGAACGUGCCCAGUAGCGGGGGAUAACUACGCGAAAGCGUGGCUAAUACCGCAUACGCCCUACGGGAGAAAGCGGGGACCUUCGGGCCUCGCGCCAUUAGAUGAGCCUAGGUCGGAUUAGCUAGUUGGUGAGGUAAUGGCUCGACCAAGGCGACGAUCCGUAACUGGUCUGAGAGGAUGAUCAGUCACACUGGAACUGAGACACGGUCCAGACUCCUACGGGAGCCAGCAGUGGGAAUAGUUGGACAAGUGGGCGAAAGCCUGAUCCAGCCAUGCCGCGUGUGUGAAGAGGUCUUCGGAUUGAAGCGUACUUUAAGUUGGGAAGUAAGGUUAGUAAACGUUUAAUACGGUU